This 1580-nucleotide unclassified non-coding RNA is filed under the name Bombus terrestris (buff-tailed bumblebee). Its description in RNAcentral is "misc RNA ENSBTSG00005025707.1". Lineage: Eukaryota; Metazoa; Arthropoda; Insecta; Hymenoptera; Apidae. The record is from RNAcentral.
UUCCCGAAGUUACGCUAAUGCUCUUGGAAGCAAAUAAGAGGGGCAACACUCGCGAAUCUUUGCAGUCUCGAUCGAUUCGCGUUACCCGGCACGCCACACGCCGACUUGCCGCGCCGUGCUGUUUCUGUUUAUUCCGUCGACAGACUCGUAUGAAAUUGCUGGCGGCCGUGGCCUCGCGUGCACACUAACAAAACAUCCUUCGAUCAAAAGGCGUAACAAAAGCCCAUUAAAAUCUUCUCUCGAAUCAGCGUGUAUUCGGUGGAACCAAUUCUCGCGGUUUGCCCCGGGAAAAUUUUCAUAUGAAAAAGCUGGAAUUUAACCAGAAAUCGUCUGGUCAGAGCCGGGAUGUACAGCGGGAUGUUUCGAAUUGGACGGGAAAGCCUGAAACGCGAUUCGCGAAAUACGUUUGGCAAGAGCGAAGAAUUCUCGGUGAAAAACCGUUGCGUUGCGUUGCGUUGCGUUGCGUCGCGUUGCAACGCGUAAAAAGCGGCGACCAGUUGCUAGCAUUGGCGAAUUUCGCCGCAGGAGCGAAGCGGCGCGCGAAACGAGAAGGGAGUACAGGACAGAGGAAAAUGGGAGGAGGCAAAGCUGGCAGCGGUAAAACGUGUCUGGCACACGCUUGGCCCCGACCGACGCCGCUGAAAAUUUCUUUUCCCUCGUUUUUUCAACCACCACCGACCAGAUGCAUAUACGUUCGUCCCCUGGUUUAUCCGUCUCUCCGCUUUUACGCUUUUCCUUCGCUCGCACACAGCGCUUCGCUUACGCUGUUCUUUCUGUCACGGGGAGAAGCUGAUAAAUGAUGCAAAUAAACAAAAUGAGAGAGAUUAAGGGAAGCCGAGAAGCAGAGAGGAGGAAACGAGACAGAACGAAAAGCGUGGCACGCUAGCAGAAGCUGGCCGCGAAAAACUGGAGCAAGAUCGUUUGCCGUGCAAUAACGUUCGCUAUUGGCCGGGAAGAUUAUUUUCGCUCGGGCCACCAACACCAGCGACAGAAAAUCUAUACCAACCGUAAACUAUUACAUAAUUACGAGAGCCUGUAUAUCCGGAACAAAGAACACGGUCGAAUCUCCGGUUCCGCUACUUUUACCCUCUCCGAUAUAAUAAUUUCAAGCUGCGCGAACAAGGCUAAUUUCCGUACCGGACACGUUCUCUCACUGAAUUUUUCCUUUUCAUCAUCGUUUUAUCCGCUGAGUUAUGUCUGACAGUCGAACGAGAAUAGAUCCGCGUCCGACGAAGUGCAUAUACGAGGUUACGAUGAAUGGCAGGUUCGCGAUGAACGAUAGACGGCAAGGAAGAGCUACUUCUCGGCUUCGCAAAUAUUUAGAGAAAGUAAGCGCGCUGUACCACGCCAAUCUUUAUCUGCGAGUAUCUCGAAAGUGAAAAAUUCACUGGAAGCUAAUCCAGCUGAUAAAUGGAAUUUUUUCUCUCGACCGGCUAAUCGAAUGAAAGCAACGGAGGAUACGGCGAGAGACGUAGAUACCAUCCAACUUCAAUUCAUCGUCUGAAACUAUCUGAAAAUACCGAUGGGUGCCAAGCAUAGGUCUUGCCGAUGAUUAUUUCUUCGAUCGUGGAUCGUAGUAA